AAAAAAAAUAAAUAAAUAAAUAAAACAAUGGAUAUCGACAAUGCUAAAAAACACCUAAGUGAGCUGCAAGAAGAGAGAAGAAAACACAAAAUAACAUUACCAAGUGUUCUGAAACAAAAGGUUUUGUUUAAAGAAGAAAUAAAUAAUUUAUUAAAGAAGAAUGAAAAUAGUAUAUUACAAACAUAUUUUGUUAAUAGUAUUAAUAAACCAAUUAUUAAAAUGGAAAAUGAAGAUAUAAACUUAUUAUAUGGUAGUCAGAACAUUUUACAUAGUACUAGUUCUUCUUGUUUCUUGUUUAAUAGUAGUUCUAAACAAAAUAUAACUUCUAAUUCGUUUUAUAAAGAAAUGCUAAAAAUUUAUGAAGAUAAUGAAAUAAUUACAUUAGGUAUAUUAUUUAUGGGAUUACAAGCACCUGGUGGGCAUAACAUUAUAUGUGGUGUUUUAGAUUGUUUAAAAAAAAAAAAUAAAAAAAAUAUUUUAUAUGGAUUUUUAAAUGGUUUCGAAGGACUAAUAAACUAUGAUUUCAUGGAACUAAAAAAUGAAUAUAUCAGUAUGUUUCGAAAUAGUGGUAGUUUUGAUAUGAUAAAUACGAGUAACAAAAUAAUAAAUAAUGAAAGAGAAAAGAAAAAAUGUUUUAAAAUUUGUAGGUACUUAAAUUUAAAUGGUUUAAUAAUUAUUGGUGGUGUUCAAGGUAUGGAACAAGUAGCUAUGCUUGCCGAAUACUUUGAAAAUAUUUACAACAUAAGUGAGGAAGCAAAUAAAAAAAAAAGAGUUGAUAGUUUUAAUAAAGUAGAUAAAAAUAAAGCAACAGAUGACGGUGCAUGUGUUAAUGGGAUUGUUGAAAAUAAUCAGGCAGAAGAAAACGAGAGUAAUUUAGAAGGGGUAUCGUCCAUACAUAGGAGUGAUAUAACUUACGAUAUACAACAAAACAUGAAUAUAUGCGUAAGCGAUGACAUAGACGAUAAUAUUGAUGUGGAUAAAACGUAUGAAGUUAUAAGUGAUAUAAGUGAUGAAGAAACAAAAAAUAAAUUUCCUCGAAAAAUAAAAAGUAAAACAUUAAAAAAAGUAAAAAUUAUUGGUGCACCUACAACAGUAUACAACGAAAUGGUUAAUGAUUUUGUAGAAUGUUGUUUAGGGUUCGACACGACGAUGUAUACAUGUUGCGAAUACAUAAGUUACUUAUUAUCACAUAUACAAACAUAUCUUAAUGGAUAUCAUUUUGUUAAUUUGAUUGGAAACUGUUCUAGUCACAUAGCACUGGAAUGUUUUUUACAAACAAAAGUUAAUGCUGUUUUAAUAAAUGAAGAAAUUAAAAAAAAAAAAAAAAAACUACAUGAUAUAUGUAAUUUCUUGAUAGAAAUGAUUGAAACUAGAUAUGUGAAAUAUAAUAAAAAAUAUGGUGUUGUUAUAAUACCAGAGGGAUUGUUAAAAAAAGUGCCUGAGUUUAAGCAACUGGUUCAAUGUAUUUUACGUGUAAAGGACAAAUUGAUCAUGCAAGAUAAAAACGAAAAAUAUGAAAAUGGUUUGUAUAAUAAAGAAAAUAUGUCUAACGAAGCAGUUACAUCUGAAUUGGAUGCUAAUAAAAUGGACAUGAGUAAAGAAUCUGAUGGAGUUAACGCAAUAAAUGCUAAUACUAAUAUGGUAGGUACCCAUAAAAAUAUGUAUAUGGAACUGAAAAAAGUAUUACUUACUAAACUUGACAAAAACAAUUAUGAUUUGUUUAGUUCUUUACCAGUAUUUUUUCAAAACCACUUGUUGUUUGAGAUUUGUUCCGAUGAAUUUAACUACUGCAACUUAAGAGCAGAAAAAUUACUUGCACAUAUGGUGAUGCAAAAACUUAAAGAAAAGAAAAUACAAGACUUGAAAAUAGUUUGCCAUUGUUAUGGAAAUGAAGUAACAUGUUCCUUACCCACAAACUUUGACUGCGCGUACAGCUACAUUUUAGGAUUUGGUUGUGUAGAAAUGGCAGUUAAUCAAUAUAGUGGAUAUAUGUGCACGAUAAAAAAAUUACAAAAUUUGUUAUUAAACGUAGAUGAAAUAAAAAUAGUAGGUGUGCCUGUAUGUAGUUUAUUAAAAAAAAAAAAAAAUGAGAAAGUAGUUGGAUUACAAACUGUAGGAAACGAAGCUACAUCCGAACAAGAGAAUGAAAAAAUGCAAAACUUCACUCAUAACAUUAAAGACAAUGGUUAUCUCCAAUUUUACAUGAAAAAAAAUAAAAUCGAUUUAAAUAAUGAUUAUUAUUUAAAAUAUAAAAAAUGUCGUUCUAAAUAUUUAUAUGAAGAUAAUUAUAGGAUACUGAGUGGUAUACAAUAUGAGCAUAAAAUACCUAUCGAAAACAAUAAUAAUGAUAAUAUUAGUUAUUCACAAAAAAGUAAUAACAAAAAUCCCAUUGAUUACAUGCGACUUAAAUCCAUCGCACGUGAUAUAUGGAACAGACUGAACUUCACUCUUGAAGGUAUCAACUAUGAGUACUUGGGUGUAGACAGCAAUGAAGACAAUAAGGAACAUGUAUGUCUUAACGAAAAAAAAAAAGAUGAUGACAUUGCGAGUGAAAUCCCAAACACAAGUACAAACACAAACACAAACACAAACACAAACAUGAUCAUUCAUAGCAAAAGCAAACUGUUGAACGAUUUAAAUUGUAACAAUUACAAAUGUUAUAACGACCUAUCGUAUAUCGAACAAAAGCUUAUAAAACGUGUCAUAAAUUUUAACACUGUGUUGAUUAGACAGAAUACAAGCAUUAAAUACAUUGAAAACACGUUCGAAAGUAAAUUAAAAAAUAAUUGUUUUGUUCAUAUUGAUAAAAUAAAUGAGUUCUACGUUUUACAAGAAAAUAAUAAUAAUAAUAGUAAUAUUAAUAUUAAUAAUAAUAAUAAUAUAUAUAUAAAAAAUAGUAUCCAUUGUAAUAAGCAUAUAUCUAAUGUGAAAAACACAGGAGUUGUUUUACUGUCUCAUUGUGUUCCCGGAGUUAACAAUAUAAUUGUAGGAUUACACCAACGCUUGUCUACUAACAAUUUAAAACUGUUUGGUUUCAUAAAAGGUAUAGAAGGAUUAAUAAAUAAUAAUAUAUGUUUAAUUAAUGAUAAUAAUAUAAAAAAUUCAAUAAAUAUUGGAGGGUUUUCAUUAUUAGGUGUGAGUGUUAUAUACAAUAAGAAUGAUAAAGAAAAAAUAAAUAUAUAUGAUCUGAUUAAAAAGGAAAAUGUAAACAAGAUAACUGAAAACUGCAAAAAAAAUAAUAUUAGUAAUUUAGUUUUUAUUGGAAAUGAAAAGGUUAUAUCUUUGAUGAAUAUACUGAACGAUAUAUUUAUAAAUGAAAAAGUUCAAAUAAAAAUUAUAACUAUACCUAUAUCUUUAUACAAUAGCUUUGAUAAAAAUUUAAUCGAAUGUAGUAUCGGUUACCAUUCAAUGGUAUGUAAUAUUAGUGGUAUUGUUAGUAACUUAGAAGCAUCUUGCUUAAAAAAAUAUUAUUAUAUAGUAAAAAUACCAACUAAUAUAUCGUCCUCUUUAUUACUAUCAACACAAUUAGAAACUCACUGUAACAUUUGUUGUGUUGGAGAAUAUGGCACAAGUCAUAGCAUUAAUAUGUCCACUCUUAUUGAAAAUAUUACUUUAGUUGUUAUUGAAAGAAUAAAUAGAAAAAAGCAACAUGGUAUUAUUUUGUUUAGCUCAAAUUUAAUCUAUUGUAUUAGUGAUUUUUUUCAUUUAUGUCAGGACGUGGAUGAAAAUAUAAAGGAUCCGCAGAUUUUGGAGCAGAUCAUAUCUCGUGAUGUGUUUCCGGAAAGUGUUACGAAUGUUUUAAAAAAAGAAAGUGUAGAAUUAUUAAAAAUAUGCACUCAAGAAGUGAAAGAGAAGUUGUUAAGAAAAGAAAAAAGAGAAGACGAAGAUAUUGAUGCAAACUUUGAAAUAAUGCUAAUAACAGAAAUAAAAAAAUAUAUAAAGACACUAAUGGAACAACAUGCACAAACAAACAAUGAUACAUAUUGUUAUAAAAAACAUAUGAGUACUGUAACUAAUAAUAGUAUAACAUUAAAAAAUAUAAAAGUAUACAAAGAUAUAAAUUAUUUAUCUUUAUUUAAAAUAAAAAGUAAAAAUAUUGAUAGGGAAGUUAAUUGUCAUUUCCCUACUCAUUUUGAUAACUCAUUAGCAUUUUCUCAUGGCUUAUUGGCUGGAAUUGCAGUUGAAAGUGGUAUCAUAAAUUAUGUCACUUCUAUCAGGCAUCUAAGUCUUAACAAAAAAAAUUGGAGCGGUUCGUUAUACCCUGGGUUUUACUUUAUAAAUAAAAAAGCCGAUGACGGAUAUUUUGACAAGUAUCCGUAUGUUGCCCCAGUACCAAUAUCGAUAAAAUCAAGUCAAAUGGCUACCGUUAAGCAUAAUUCACAUACAUGGGCAUAUAACGACAGUUACAUUUAUGUGGGUCCUGUUCAACAUACAACGAACUCAGAUUGUCUUGGAAGUUUCUCGUACAUGUCUUAAAAGAACAAGCAUAAUAUCAUUCAUAAUAAUGUUGCACAAUGGAUAGGAGCAUAGAUAAUUUUUUUUUUUUUUUUUUCCUUUAGAUUAUUAAAAGUAUAAUACAUAAACAAUAGUAGGAAAAGCUCAUGUUUCCAUUAUGUUUCACUUAUUUAUUUAUAUAUUUUUAUUUGAUUUUCAUUUGAAAAAAUAUAUAUGUACGUAUAUAUUUAUACACAAUCACAUAUAUAAUGUAGUUCUAAAUAGAAAAAAUAAUAAUAAUGAUAAUAGUAAUAAUAUAAACAAAAUGCAAUACAUAAGCAUAUUAAUUGAAAAAAUUUCAAAAGUAGUAGUUUUCAAUUGUUGUGUUUUUAUUAGUAUUGAUAAUAGACACGUAAUAAAUGAUUGUUUAUUCAAAUAUGCGUACA
Piliocolobus tephrosceles (Ugandan red Colobus) is the source of this 4880-nucleotide long non-coding RNA. NCBI's taxonomy places the organism in Eukaryota, Metazoa, Chordata, Mammalia, Primates, Cercopithecidae. The record is from Ensembl.